GGCUGAAAUUCGCCUUCAUGAAGCUGGAAUUGCUAGUAAUGGCAGGUCAGCAUACUGCCGUGAAUACGUUCCCGGGCCUUGUACACACCGCCCGUCACACCAUGAGAGUUGGGGAUACCCGAAGCCUGUGAGCUAACAGUAAUGGGGCAGCAGUCGAAGGUAGAAUCAAUGAUUGGGGUGAAGUCGUAACAAGGUAUC
RNAcentral lists this ribosomal RNA (198 nucleotides) under uncultured bacterium. Its description in RNAcentral is "partial 16S ribosomal RNA". It matches the Rfam family "Bacterial small subunit ribosomal RNA", at positions 1303 to 1500 of the family's 1533-position model. The record is from RNAcentral.